RNAcentral lists this ribosomal RNA (301 nucleotides) under uncultured bacterium. RNAcentral's name for it is "partial 16S ribosomal RNA". It matches the Rfam family "Bacterial small subunit ribosomal RNA", at positions 509 to 808 of the family's 1533-position model. The record is from RNAcentral.
CAGUCGCCGCGGUAAUACGUAGGGUGCAAGCGUUGAUCGGAAUUACUGGGCGUAAAGCGUGCGCAGGCGGUUAUAUAAGUCAGAUGUGAAAUCCCCGGGCUCAACCUGGGAACUGCAUUUGAGACUGUAUGGCUAGAGUGUGUCAGAGGGGGGGUAGAAUUCCACGUGUAGCAGUGAAAUGCGUAGAUAUGUGGAGGAAUACCGAUGGCGAAGGCAGCCCCCUGGGAUAACACUGACGCUCAUGCAUGAAAGCGUGGGGAGCAAACAGGAUUAGAUACCCCGGUAGUCCCUGUCUCUUAUA